RNAcentral lists this ribosomal RNA (496 nucleotides) under uncultured bacterium. RNAcentral describes it as "partial 16S ribosomal RNA". It matches the Rfam family "Bacterial small subunit ribosomal RNA", at positions 28 to 506 of the family's 1533-position model. The record is from RNAcentral.
GAUGAACGCUGGCGGCGUGCCUAAUACAUGCAAGUCGAGCGAACAGACGAGGAGCUUGCUCCUCUGACGUUAGCGGCGGACGGGUGAGUAACACGUGGAUAACCUACCUAUAAGACUGGGAUAACUUCGGGAAACCGGAGCUAAUACCGGAUAAUAUAUUGAACUGCAUGGUUCAAUAGUGAAAGACGGUUUUGCUGUCACUUAUAGAUGGAUCCGCGCCGCAUUAGCUAGUUGGUAAGGUAACGGCUUACCAAGGCAACGAUGCGUAGCCGACCUGAGAGGGUGAUCGGCCACACUGGAACUGAGACGCGGCCCAGACUCCUACGAGAGGCAGCAGGAGGAAAUCUGCCGCAAGGGGCGAGAGCCUGACGGAGCAACGGCGCGUGAGUGAUGAAGGUCUUCGUAUUAUAAAACUCUUUUAUUAGGGAAGAACAAAUGUGUAAGUAACUAUGCACGUCUGGACGGUACCUAAUCAGAAAGCCACGGCUAACUACGG